GUAUGAAUUCACAUCACCCAGAAUGAGUUUAAUCUCAUCAGAUCUCGGAAGCUAAGCAAGCUUGAGCCUGGAUAGUGCUUGGUUGGGUGACCGCCAUGCACACCCGGCUGCCAUAGG
RNAcentral lists this ribosomal RNA (117 nucleotides) under Petromyzon marinus (sea lamprey). The record is from RNAcentral. Lineage: Eukaryota; Metazoa; Chordata; Hyperoartia; Petromyzontiformes; Petromyzontidae.